Aphelenchus avenae is the source of this 71-nucleotide non-coding RNA. Lineage: Eukaryota; Metazoa; Nematoda; Chromadorea; Rhabditida; Aphelenchidae. The record is from the annotation of a GenBank genome assembly.
GCAUCGAUAGCUCAGCGGCAGAGCGUUUCCUUUACGGGAAAAGGUCGUAGGUUCAAUUCCUGCUCGAUGGC